CUGACACAGUUUUCAUCUGUGCUGAUGAGUGUUAAGCGGCUCAUACAAAAAAUCUGACAAAUCUGAACUGCAGGACUACAAGAAAACUUUAAUGCUGCCUACAGAAUAACAGAGCCAGAGAUCUCUACAUCUGGAAGAGUCACAAUAGAGCAUCAUAUUUGCCCUUCAUUAUAUGAAGAAUUUCAACCAUGUGAAUCAGAGGAGAGCGACGAGAAAAUCAACUUCUGACUCCUUGCCAUUGAGAAAUGCCAGAACAGUGAUUUGUGGCUGUGUGCUGUAGAAGUCAGCUUAGGAUACUCGGUUGAACAUGCCUUUGCUGCUCUUUUGUGACUAUUCUGCAAACAUGGUCACUCUUCUGUAUAAAGAG
This is a long non-coding RNA of Melospiza melodia melodia, 367 nucleotides long. RefSeq lists it as uncharacterized. The record is from RefSeq and is a predicted model, not a curated record. The transcript is spliced from 2 exons. NCBI's taxonomy places the organism in Eukaryota, Metazoa, Chordata, Aves, Passeriformes, Passerellidae.